This 253-nucleotide ribosomal RNA is filed under the name uncultured bacterium. RNAcentral describes it as "partial 16S ribosomal RNA". It matches the Rfam family "Bacterial small subunit ribosomal RNA", at positions 524 to 776 of the family's 1533-position model. The record is from RNAcentral.
UACAGAGGGUGCAAGCGUUAAUCGGAAUUACUGGGCGUAAAGCGCGCGCAGGUGGUUUGUUAAGUUGGAUGUGAAAUCCCCGGGCUCAACCUGGGAACUGCAUUCAAAACUGACAAGCUAGAGUAUGGUAGAGGGUGGUGGAAUUUCCUGUGUAGCGGUGAAAUGCGUAGAUAUAGGAAGGAACACCAGUGGCGAAGGCGACCACCUGGACUGAUACUGACACUGAGGUGCGAAAGCGUGGGGAGCAAACAGG